Molecule: long non-coding RNA, 853 nt
Filed under: Chinchilla lanigera (long-tailed chinchilla)
Lineage: Eukaryota; Metazoa; Chordata; Mammalia; Rodentia; Chinchillidae
Description: lncRNA (ENSCLAG00000024665.1)
Source: RNAcentral
UUCUCCUUCUUAAUCUGGAGAUAGGAAAGGUACAAAGAGAAGUGAAACAAAUAAGAUAAAUAUAAUUACAGUUAUAUUCCUCAAAAGAAAUACAGACUGUGGAUUCUUGUAAUAUUUACUAGAUGUAGACUGUGGCUCUGCCUCAUUCUAUCUUCACUUCUGGUGACAAGGCUAACGGCGAAGUUUCCUACCGGAAGUACAGGAAGUACUGCUGGCAAAGAGAAGUUUCCUACCGGAAGUACCGGAAGUACUGUUGACAAGGCUAAUGGAGAAGUUUCCUACCGGAAGUACCGGAAGUACUGUUGGCAAAGAGAAGAGAAAACAUUAGUAAACCAUGUGCUAGUUGUUGAAGCUUCUCCUCGGAUUGGAUGUUUCUCCCUUCAUCCUCCAUAUAAUAAAAGAAAAGAUGCUGCUGAUUUUGCCCCAUAUAUACAUGCUGGAUAUCUAGAUGAAUAACUACCCGAGGACAUUCCUUUCACCAUCCUCUCAGGAGAUCAAGGUUUUCUGGCUCUAGAGAAUCAAUUUAAGAAGACUCAGCAGCCAGCUCAUAUACUAAACCCUCACUACUUAGAGGGAGAUACGAUGUGUGCCUUGUUAAAUAGCACAUCCGAUAGCACCAAAGAUACGCAGCUGCGGUCCCAGAUCAAAUCGUCCGAGAAGACUUCACUGAUGAGAGACCAGUAAAAUCCAACUGGGCCUGCAAGGAGUUCUGACCUGAGAUGUAGACAAAGUCAAGUUCCUUCUGACUGUCCCUGAAAAUAAGCCUUCCUCUUCAGCUUUCCAAGUAUUAAUGCACUUACGUUGUUUCUACAGCUACAUGUUUAAGUUGGGCUUUCAACAUGUGCAACUUGAA